RNAcentral lists this long non-coding RNA (212 nucleotides) under Homo sapiens (human). RNAcentral describes it as "non-protein coding lnc-GGTLC2-11:1". Lineage: Eukaryota; Metazoa; Chordata; Mammalia; Primates; Hominidae. The record is from RNAcentral.
CAGAGACUGGCAGCGCGCCGUCAUCGCCAUGAAUGGGAUCGAAGUAAAGCUCUCGGUCAAGUUCAACAGCAGGAAGUUCAGCUUGAAGAGGAUGCCGUCCCGAAAACAGACAGGGGUCUUCGGAGUCAAGAUUGCUGUGGUCACCAAGAGAGAGAGGUCCAAGGUGCCCUACAUCGUGCGCCAGUGUGUGGAGGAGAUCGAGCGCCGAGGCA